Molecule: ribosomal RNA, 420 nt
Filed under: uncultured soil bacterium S018
Lineage: Bacteria
Description: bacterial SSU rRNA
Rfam family: Bacterial small subunit ribosomal RNA
Source: RNAcentral
AUACGGGCCAGACUCAUACGGGAGGCAGCAGUCGGGAAUUUUGGGCAAUGGGCGCAAGCCUGACCCAGCAACGCCGCGUGAAGGAUGAAGUUUUUCGGAAUGUAAACUUCAUAAGAAUGGGACGAAUAAGUGGGGGCUAAUACCCCCCAUGAUGACGGUACCAUUUGUAAGCUCCGGCUAACUCCGUGCCAGCAGCCGCGGUAAUACGGGGGGAGCAAGCGUUGUUCGGAUUUACUGGGCGUAAAGGGCGCGUAGGCGGCGCAACAAGUCACUUGUGAAAUCUCCGGGCUUAACUCGGAGCGGUCAAGUGAUACUGUCGUGCUAGAGUGCGGAAGGGGCUACUGGAAUUCUCGGUGUAGCGGUGAAACGCGUAGAUAUCGAGAGGAACACCUGCGGCGAAGGCGGGUAGCUGGGCCGACA